AGGUGCUUGCCUUAGAGCAAGGGAAACAGCUCUGAUUCAAAGGAACUAGAAGCCUCUCCCUCAGUGUUCCUCCUGCUGUCCUAUGACCUUUUUGUCAAUUCCUUCUCAGAACUGCUCCGAAAGGCUCCUGUCAUCCAGCUUGUGCUCUUCAUCAUCCAGGAUAUUGCAGUCCUCUUCAACAUCAUCAUCAUUUUCCUCAUGUUCUUCAACACCUUCGUCUUCCAGGCUGGCCUGGUCAACCUCCUAUUCCAUAAAUUCAAAGGGACCAUCAUCCUGACAGCUGUGUACUUUGCCCUCAGCAUCUCCCUUCAUGUCUGGAUCAUGAACUUACGCUGGAAAAACUCCAACAGCUUCAUAUGGACAGAUGGACUUCAAACGCUGUUUGUAUUCCAGAGACUAGCGGCAGUGUUGUACUACUACUUCUAUAAACGGACAGCCGUAAGACUAGGCGACCCUCGCUUCUACCAGGACUCUUUGUGGCUGCGCAAGGAGUUCAUGCAAGUUCGAAGGUGACCUCUUGUCACACUGAUGGAUACUUUUCCUUCCUGAUAGAAG
This 555-nucleotide small RNA is filed under the name Pongo abelii (Sumatran orangutan). RNAcentral describes it as "processed transcript". Lineage: Eukaryota; Metazoa; Chordata; Mammalia; Primates; Hominidae. The record is from RNAcentral.